This is a long non-coding RNA of Cygnus olor (mute swan), 23118 nucleotides long. RefSeq lists it as uncharacterized. The record is from RefSeq and is a predicted model, not a curated record. Lineage: Eukaryota; Metazoa; Chordata; Aves; Anseriformes; Anatidae. The transcript has 2 exons.
UCCCAUCCCAUCAAAACAUACUUUUAGCACCAGGCAGGAAUCGAGGGUUAAGCCUCCUUUUCUUUUUUUUCUCAUUUUUGCUCCUCCUGACUUCUGUGAACACAUUAUGAUACCGCCUUCGGUUCCACUAUUACAUCUUUUCCCACAAGACCGUUGCCUCAUCCAGACCACAGCGGGGAAUGUGCUUUCAUCUCUGCCAGCUGGGUACUGCUGGAGCGCCCGGCCGUGCCCCCAGGAGCUGAACAGAGAAGACACAGAAGAGGUCAGGUGCUGCAGAUUCGUCCACAGGGCUUUGGUCAGACCCACAUCUGGGAGGGCAUUUCCAGGGAGCCUCCCAUUGUCUCCUUUGUCCCGCCUGGAACAAAGGACCUCCAUGAGACGGGGUUUCCUCUCUCCUGAGUUUAGGUGCCUAAAAGUUAGGUGUCUAAACCUAAUUAGUUGGACAGGCUUCUUGCAUAGUCAAUGGAGACAAAUAGGUACCUCUACUGUGUGAUUCACCUCGACUAUCUUCAGCAUUUAUCUUGAGAAGGGCUGACUCACUCUGGAGCUGAAUGCCCACUUCUCUUCUGCGACUGUAAAGGCAGAUGGGCAACUUGCUUAGAACUUGAUAGCUAAUUUCGGGAUGCCCCAAGUUCAGCAAGGCGGAUCCCACCCUGCAGCCAGGCCACAGCAGUGGCUCUGGGCACCAUUGCUGUGUGCUGUCUGAGACCCCCCAUCAAAUUUCCCUCAGAGGUUCCAUGUCCAGCCAUACCAAGCAGGGCUGGGUCUUAGUGUGUCCAAAUCACAUUAUCAGCCCCUAUCACGUUAUCAGACCAAGUUAAAUAUUUAUAAAGCUCUUGGGGGCAGGGUCCACAUCUUGCUACGUGUUUGUAUAUUCUUUCAUGGAGCAAAGCCCCGGCACCGGUUGCAACCUUUGUGGACUGGUGCAAUGCAGGAUGGGGAAUCUCUGUGUAAAUCUGCAGGUCUUGACGAAAUGCAGCUGGGAGUGCAAAGAGUGCUCAUGGACAUUGAGAAAUAAGCAGGAGUGAAUCAUAAGAGUCAGGAGAAGCUACUAAUGUGUGGGAAAAAGGCAAAUGUGCUACCUCUGCACAAACAUAUAAUAAGGAAGUAUGUAAUAAUAAUUAUUGUUAUUGUAAUACGGUCUGGGUGAGCAUUUGGGAAAAAGAUAUCUAAUAACUGACAAGCAACGUGGCUCGGUUUGUUUUGAUCUGAAAUUCAAACAAUGGUUAUGUUUAUAAGGUAAUAAUACACAGGGCACAGAGCACUGGCACUGCACCAACUAUGCACUCCACAGGUCGGGUUUAUAUAGGUCAUGCCAAACAAAUAAUAGUGUUCUUCAAUAUAAUUACUGAUUCAUUAAGAGAAUGAGAGAGAAUGUAAUCGAGUCUGUUUGGAUUUCAGGGAGGUGUUAGAUAUGGUAAAUUUAUACAUUUGAACUUGGAUUUUGGAGGUAUCAUGUGUUUGCCCAGCUCUGCUCCUCCGGAAGCCAGCGGUGAAAUUCCCGUUGCGGUCUCCUGCAGAUGGUGUGAGAAACCUGUUCAGCUUCUGGUGCUUCCACAACACUCUUGGGAGCCUCUCAGAGCCCUGUGUAGCAUUUCACAGUCGGUAGAGAGCUGCACAGCCUCCGAGACCGAAGUUUGGGGACCAAAUGCUGAGAGGUGACACAGAGCAAAGGCAUCCAAGCCCUCCGUGCGGGAAGACAGCCUGGGGUGGCUUCAGAGUUUCCGAGCUUUCUUGCAUACAGAAAGCUUUGUGGAGAAACUGGAGAGGAAGAAACGCCCCGCAGCUACAUGUGGCAGCCUCAGAGACGCGCGAGCUUUGCCACACACUCCAUGGAGGGACCAGCAGGGGAGAUAGCUUGCUGGAUGGUGCCUGUCGUGUUUCAAGCAGGGUGUCUCUCUGCCCCCAACCCCAUGUGUCCAUGGAGAGGCAGACCUUUGGUGGAGGAAUGAAAGCAAGGCCUCGUCAUUAAAGAAGAGCUGAUCAUGCUUCUCGCAAGAGAGACAUUGGGCCUGGUGUCUGAGCUGCCUUUGAUCUCUGGAUGCUGUGAUGCCCAGCUCCAUGGCACAGUGCCCUGGAUGUUGCUGAUGGCAGAGUGCUUCCUCUGUGCUCACCUUUUGCUUUCUGUAAGGGGAUAAGGUGUGUUGCACAAACACGAAGCAUUGGUUACUGGCUACUGCUCCUGCUUGCUGCUACUUUUUUGUUCUUUAAGACUCUGCUCCGUAGAUCAUGUGAUUAUAGGGGAAUCAGUUUUCAGUUAAAAACAUGCUUUUCCUGCUGGCUAUUGCAGAGAAGAACAUGAAAGCUCUGUAGAGUUGAGCCCAAAGGCUGAAGAGUCAAAAGACAAACAGAUACUGAAUCCAACAUUACUGGUUUUCAAAUUUUUAAAAUGAUAUUGUUUAGGAUACUGACAGUAUUUCAGAACCCAACUCUUAAAUGUCUGGGAUUAGCUGUUCUGCAAAGAAGAGGAUGUUGGCUGUCUAGUACUACUUGGGAAAUGUCAAAAUCCCAGCCCACAGCUCUGCAGAGCUUAAUAUAGAGCUUAAUCAGAAGUCUGUUACCACCCUCAGGGGGCUCCGAGCGAAAAGCAGGUCAGGUUUUCUCUUUCAUCUCUGCUGCAAGCGCUGGUCCAGAUGGAUAAUACUUCCAGCAGUGAUUCCCAGCAGCAGGCGGCUGAGGCUCUUCGAUGGCUACCUGACCUCCCCUGUGAAAUGGAAGUUCUGCCAACAGUACUGGCAUUUCUUAGCAGACAAGCAUCCACACGAUAUAAUUUCUAUAGUAACUGGUGUCUCUGUGUCUGCCAUGACCAUUCUCCCUGCCAGCCCAGCAGACAGGACUGAAAUUACCUGGAAAUAAAAUUUCUCAAUGAAAGUGUCCUUUCAACUUGCACCGCUCUGCAAUAACAGCACAUCCACAACCUUCUUUGUUUCUUGCUGUAGUUUGCCUGUAGAUGGUCAAUUGCAAUCUUCAGGCCUACAGAGAUGAUUCAUGUUUCCCCAUUGUUAGGCAUAUUAAAAAUAAUAAUUAAACAAACUCCAAAAUUCACUGCCCUCCAGUGUGUGCACCUCUAGCCCUUAUAGCUGAGACGCUGUAUCCACCAGUUGUUUCUGAAUUUUGCAGUUGGUUGACCCACCAGUACAGUAACAGGAUGCUGGGUGGAGUGGUGUGGUUCUUCCCAAAUUCAGAUGCGUUCAAGAUGCAUGGCUCAAAGAUGACCAGUCUGUCACCUUUAGUAUCAUUGAUGGAUCAAAAACCCACAGAUUCAUGCUGUGGUGGAUAUGACUGUGUCUGUUGCUAAUGCAGCUGUUCCGAAAUGCAAACCAGAAUUUCUAAGUGCUGCUGAAAUAGUGAAAACCCUUUGAGGACCAGGUGUGGGGGUGGUGGAUGGCAAAACCUUGUCUGGUGAAACUGUUCAAAAGAGCAAGUCUGUUAACGAACAGAGGGUCCCACGUUCACCUCCAACACCGUGCGCAGAACGACAAGAAGCAGCAGCAAGAACCGGCAGUGCACCAAAAGCAAAGUGUCCAGAAUAAACCAGGCCAAUAAAAAGAGCUGUGCAUGUGAACUAAUAUGCCAGUUUAAGCCACGUUUCCUGAAGCAGUUGAACCCCCAGCCACAAAGCUCAUCCCAGGAAGAAGAUCUGUAGCAGUGACGGUGCAGUGGGAUAAGUCUGCCUCACAGCUGCGCUGCAUACGGCUUGCCAAGCAUGUUGUUGCAGUGCUUGAUUAUCCAUCUCUCUUCAGUACUGGAGAAAGCAAAAGGUUCCUGUGUGCGUGUGCACUUGUGAGCACACGCAGUAGCCUAUGAAGAGCAUGUGUGCGCAUGAACAAGCACCAUUGAACACGUGAGCAGGACGCCGAGGGGUUACCGCAGCCACCCAUGCGUGUGGCCGGGGCUGAGCACCCUGGGCCACGCGAGGGACGGCGCCAUGCUGGCAGCCGUGUGCCCGUGUGCAGGCAGGGAGGGUGCAGGACUGUGCUGACAGCAGCGUGGCUCUAGCAGGGAGAACUUUUCCUGGCUGCUGACGAAGUGCAGCUGGGCUCAGCAAAGAGUUAAAUUGGUAGAGAAGAGUCUAGAAGGGCUCCUGCCAGCUAUAAACAGAGCGAUCAGCAUACACAGGAUGUGGCGAGCAGCUAAAGGCGUCCCGUUAUUAACUUCACUUUUAUUUCAAGGGGAUUCACUUCUCUGUUCUGUUUCCCAUUUGGGAAGUGAAACCUAAGACCAUGGUACCACUUAAAAAAAAUGGUCACAGCUCGUUUGUUUUUCUACUUUAUUCUUUUUUCUUUUAAAGGUUACUCUGCUGUUCCUUUGACGGAAUUUAUUGAAAUUACUGGUAACACACUGAGUCUUCACUGAGAGUAACUUCACUUCUGUUUCUCUCCUGAGGCUCUCAUUCAAGACUGUUGACUCUGAGGGGAGUGUUUACUUGAGGACACCUCAUGCUGCAUGCUCACAGCACGGUGCAACCCAGCCUGGAAGGAACAAUGUGGAGAGCGUUAGCACCGUCUCCUCCGAACAGCAGCGUCAGAGCCAGCCUGCACACUGCUCCCAAGGUGCUUUGUAAACAUUUAUUCGUUCUUGCACACGCUCCCUUCCCUCCCCCCAUAAGGUGAGGAAAUGUUAUUGUCACCAUUUCACAGAUGGAAGAAGUGAGUUCAGAUAGGUGCAGUGACUCACCAGCCGCAGCUGAGGCAGAUCAGGAGCUGAGGAGUCGAGCAUAACCCAGGAGGUCACGUUCCCACCCAGGGCUGGCAAUGUAGGUAGUGCCAGCCCCAUCUACCUGCCACCCACCUGUCCUGAGAAGCAGUAAUGCUCAUCUCAACAUUUGCAGAAUGAGAUCAGAUUGCUGUGGCUUACUCCAUGGGCUGGUGUCAUCACAGUGUGAUAUAUUAUUAUGAUAUCAUGAUGUUAUUACGCCUGAAACUAACGCAAGGCCACUCGCAGAACACGGGUAGGCAGCUGAACACUGGUGACCGUGCACUCCGCAACCACAUCACACGCACACACACGCCCUGUACCGAGGUGUUGGUCAAUCCCACCACGCCGCAAGGAUCUGCAAACGAUCUGCGUGCUGGGCAGGGCUGUCCCCAUGCCUGUCCCUGUCCCCCCUUCCCCCCCUUCGCUGCUGUCCUAGGUUAACUCGGCCCCACACAGCCCCUGUGUGAAUGACUGAGAGAGGAAACGUGGCUCGGUGAGGCAAUGGAAGGAAAGUGUUUGCUUCUCAGGUGGAAACGGCUCUCACAGCACAUGGUCAACAGAUAAGGAUCAGAGCCCACAUUCGCAGGUGAUGCUGGCUAUUUUGGAGCCCUGGGUGCUUGUUGGAAAAUCAAGCUUUCCUCAAUGCAAGCACUCAGGUGACAGGCACUUGGUGCCCAAUCGUGGCUGAAAAUUCAGGGCCGUACAUUACCACUAUUUGGUGGCAACUAUUGCUGUUUACAAUCCUCACCAAUAUCGUUUUCCUCUCCCACACGGCAUCAAGAACAACAACAACAACGAAAACCCCCGCUCCUUAUCACCUCCGCUUGCUUUCCACACUGUCUGCACGGCACAUGGUUUCACUCAUCCUCAGCUCGGCGCGGGCGAGUCAGAUCAGUCGGUUCCACUUUCUGACGCAGGUCUGUCUGUCUGUCUGCUUCUCAGGCCCGGACAGGAUGUGCCUGUGAUCAGGUUCACAAUACUGGAGGGGAGGUUGAAGUUCACUGUACAAAUCUGUGUAUUUUUAAGUAAAACCCUUGGUAUUCCCUUCUUUUAAACAGAACCUUUGUGGCAGGUCAUCCUAAUUAAACUACAGUUUAGCUGCCUUCUGCCUUGCCACGUGCAAAACUGGUUUCCAUUGCCACAGUGAAGUCUGCAGAAAGAUCUUCUUUGAUGUCUGGGGACUUUGGGCCAGUCUGGAGUCCUGGUCCUGCACAUGUUGAGAGGAAUGGCCAAACCCUCAUGGAUUGUAAGGUAUGAGAGACCAGGGUCUCAGCAGACUCAGGAGCAUGAAGGGCGUGCACCUGAGUGCCUAGGCUGCUCCAGGGCCUCCCUGCAUCUCUUCCUACCAUGGUGUGUGGUUGUGGGGAGCAGUGGGAUCUUACAGGCGUAGGGAAAUGGAGAGGUGUCUUAAGCAUCGAGAGCAAGAUGGCUCUUCCUCUUCCUCUGGCCCUCCUUUAGGGAGCAAGCACCACAUAAACUCUGCCAGAGACCUGGCUGCAGAGUCACAGCAGGCUCAGGUUUCCCGUCCUUGCCGAGGGUCAGGCUGCAGUUUCAGGCUGUGGGGAAUGCAGGCCAGCAGCGUGAGGGGUGGCGGGAGAGCGUGGGCUGGCAUGUGGAAGCGCCUGGAGUCAGCACCUUUCGUCCUCUGUUGUGGAACUGGCAGAGAGUUAAUCUCAUAGUUAAACUAUUACUGGGCUUCACCCGCUCUUAUCCCUCCACAGUGCAAGGGGCAAGGGGCUUAGUAGGUCAACUGGCACUGGUACCUGACAGCAAUUAAAGGGACCCGGCCAAGGCGCAGAAUUUGACCUAUGCCUUUUUGGUUAGAUCUUUUUCCACACUCCAUGUCAGUCCUCACAGGAUGUUUUUGCGCUUCAUUGUGUUUUGUGCUAAACAAAUGAAGUAUAAGCCCCGCAAAGCAGAAUGCCCAGCCCAAAGCCAGGGAUGCUCAGAGCAGCCUUCAUGAGCUCCCUACAAUAACACAAGAACGCACAGCGUGCUCGUGAGGGCAGCCUUAAUAUAACUGAUGGGUACAUGGCAGUCGGGUCCUUGCAAUGUUGCAAAACACAGUUCCUGAGUUUCAGGAGUUCCAGAUGGGGAAGACAGCUGUGCCAGCUGUGAGACUGUGAGAGACAAAUAAAACAACUAGCUGAGAAGGAGUUACAAAUUCAGGACAAACGCCCAGGCAGCACCCCGCCUUCUUCUUGUAAGAUGCAUAUAGCCAACACCCCGUUGCAAUGGUAAUCAGGGCCCUGGAUAACAUGGGGUUUGUUUGCUGCUAAUAUUGCCAUUGUACCUACCCUAGCCGCAGAUCUCUGCUCCAGACCUAAGCCACCAAGACUGCAAGUUAGAGCUCUGCUGGCCAAAAGCUUUCUGAAUGGGAACAGAGAGCGAUCCUCCCUAUCUCUACAAGUUCUAGCUCAGCAAUGUGUGCUACGCCCAUUCAUCUGAAUGCAGAAUUAGCUCUGAAACUAAUGAUAAGGCUUUAAACGCCAUUGCACAGCUAAUUUAUUUCCCCACUGUCCCAAAGUGCUUCCCGGGUGCUGAAAAGCUUGGCUGCCAAAAUCUCCAUAGCCUCUGCUGACAACAACCUCCACAGCGCAGCUCUGCAUUGCAACACCUUUCCCAUCACCGCAGGCCCGAGCGCUUCGAGCAGCAACGUAGUUAGCCAUGGUGAGGGUGGUCACCCGCCUCGAUGCACAGCUUGGGGAGCCGAGGCCGGGCGAGGCGACGUGCCCGCUCCCCAGGCUUGGAUGGGAAGUGUGCACCCAGCUGAUGCCUCCCGUUUUCCACGCAUCUGUUCCCUCCUCAGAGUUAAUUUAGCAAUUUUCUUUGCCUUGAUGUCAGCGGCAUUACAUAAGUCUAAACUAGGUGUGAGAUCACAAUACAACACAUCGAUUAUACAAGGAGGCACAAGGUCAUAACCACCCUUUGGACAGAGGGAGGACGUGUGUAUACACACACAUAAACACACCUAGGUGGAUAUAUAUAUAAACACACACGUGUGCACACAGCGUUUCCAUUUGGAGGUGUGCCAUGCAUGGCACAUGUCUGUUGGGGCAGAAAAACAUCGCUGCCUGUGUUUCUGCAUCAGAAUCUUUUGUUUUUCUCUCUUGGACUUUGGAGUUACUUCUGUUUUACAAAAAUAGCACCACUCAGGGCAGUCUUCCUGAUAGGUGGAAUAAUUUCCCCUUGAGAAGGAACUGGUGGAAAUCCCCUCUCUUGAGACAUUUUAACUCUGCCAAAAAUGUAGAAUGGGAGUGACUGUUUUAACUAGCGAGCUGACUUGGAUGAGCUAAUGGGUUUUUCCAUCACUAGUGUCUAGUUCCAGGGAUUUCCAUGAAUUGCUGUCAGGACAGAAGAAGGCAGCAGAUUGCAACUGUGGGAUCUGCUGUUUCAGCUCCACUGACACGUCAUUCCCUCAGGACACCCAGUGACCUGGUUAAUCUAGUUCUUUGCUUCUGACUUCUCCUCGUAAAUGAUUUAUCAACUGGCGUGGAUCCCUGUUUGCUUAAGGAGGCGUGUGACGACCUCUAGCAGACUGGCUGCUCAAAGCCAUGGGCUGCGUUUGGCACCCGAAUGCUGGUCCCAGCUUGUGACCCUUGGCACGGGGCGCAGAGGGACAGGGCUGCAGCAGAGCCCGGUGGGGAGGGCAGCUGCGGGGGACUGUGGGUAAUGUUUACAUGGCUGUCUGGAGAGCGCCGUGACUAAGCUGCCGGCUCGACAGCGAGAGCGCCUGCCCAGGACCUGCCUCAGCCCGCUCUGACCCCCGUGGUAUGAAGGUGCUGGUGGGCAGAGGGCCGGCUCACUGCUGCGUACGGGCUGCGGGGUGCUGCCCGCGGAAGCCUCAGCGGUACCAGAGCCAGCCUUGAGGUCCGUGUGCUCCAUGGAGAAAGUAACGUCACCGUCCUCCGCCUUGACCAUUCCCACAGAGAGAUCUGCAUCGGCGGUGGUGACAUCAGUGUCAUGUCUGAAGCAGAUGUGGCUCUGGAGGUCUUCAUCACGCACAUAUGUAGGUCUCUACGCAUGUCACCACGUGCGAAACGCUGCCGUAAGAAAAAGAUGGUGCAGAUCUAAACUCACUCGCUCAGAAUACAGGGAGUGAGGGUGAAGAUAAUUCCUGCAAGAUUUACAUCCUACCUUUGUACCUGGGCUAAAGGAGCGCAGAAAGAGAUCGGAUAUCACAAACUGGGCACCCUUCUGAAAAACUGUCUAUGGGCAACUCCCUGCCUUCCCUCCAGGCCAGUUAUUGCUGCUUCCUGCUCUGAUUGUUUCAAAUCCGGUUAUCUUGAGUUAUGCCUGUUCUGGCAAAUACGGUGCAGCAGAGGGGAGGUUCUGUUCCAGUCGAUGCUGUAUGCAUGCCACAGAUCACAGAGAUUAGCAUGGGAGGAAUCGCUGAGAUGAGCUGCUUGAGGCAGAUAGUGGGAAGCUUACAACAGAGCUGUGUAACAGAGUCAUAAAACUGUUGAACGAAAUCUUCAUUUUGGAGGACACGGGGCCAUGCUGGAUUUGCAGCUGGCAGGAGGCUGCUUUACAGGGGCAGCACCCAGCAGUAAGCGAGCAGAGGAAGCCUGUUGUGGGCAGCUGGGCUCCCAAGAAGCGCGGUGUCGCACCACCUAAGGGCCACACAUCAUCAGGGAGGGCUGGUUCAGGCUGUGGCAAGGAACCUGCAGCCACACGUAGAGAGGAGCAGGGGUGUGUUUUCUUCUUGCGUAAGGGCGGAUCUGGAGCAGCUUUCAGCUUCCUGAGACCUCAGGGGUGGUCGAUCUUCAUGGCCGAAGAGGGCGGAAGGUGCAGCUCCCAUUCCGUUUUUGGGGGCACACCACUUGCAUGUGCCUCAGCAGAAAUCUCUGUUCACACACCACAUGCUCCCACUCUGCUCCUUGUACAGAGGACCAGCGUCACCGAAGGACAGAGAGAUGGUGGGAUGUGUGAGGGCUAACCCCACCUCACUAGGAGCAGCCACAGCUUAAAAAACAAACCCAUGUCCCCACAGACAAAUUCAGUCUAGGCUGGGCCCACACGCCCUAUGAGAUCCUAGUCAUAGUCACAGAGCAGAGAGGCAGGGCAGGGAAAGAAAGGGUGGUCAGUGAGUUAUCCCCAAAUCAUAUUUCCAACCUCUUAAUAUGUGUGGAAUUAUUUUAGACACAAACUUCAGUCUGAAUUCCCAAGUGGUGAUAGACUUGUAUAUGGAUAACACCAGGUUCAGGCUUAAUUUCAAGCCCAAACUCACUGACCGUUCACACCACCUCUUCCAUUCAGUCUUGCUCUCCAAAGAGCAGAGAGGAGCCUGCUCUGUAUAGAAGCUAUGUCCUUACAAGCAGCACAAGUGCUCCUGGCUCAAACCUCUUGGUUUUGUGAACUCAAACACAUUUACUGAGGACAGCACGGAUGUAGAGUGAUGCAAGUGCAAAACUCCCCAAAAGCAUUCCUGUGUCCCUAGGGCACUGAAACAAGAGCCAGGUUUUCUCAUUGACCUCUUUUGUGGCAGGUGCACAGAUUUAGCAACAACACGUUAAAAGGAGCACCCAGAAACUCUUUGGCAGAGGCAGGACUGGAACCUGCUUCCUCUCAUCAUGUCUCCCAGGCCGGGGGAGAGCUUGCUUCCAAGUGCCUGGCUUUGUUCUGGUCCUGGUAACACAAGACAAUUUUCUGGUCUGUUCUUUGUAUAUCCCAAAGGGUUUUUAAUUUGCAUUUUUGACCACAACCAAAUUUAGGUAUUUUCAUUGAACUGUUCACACAGAAACCAUUUUAUUGAGCUGUUUUGGUUUUGGUGUGCUAAAAACACCAGCUGGUGGAGCAGUUUAGUGCAUUACAGGGAGACGUCACAUACCUCUAAGUUAGGUCUUACUGUAGGAGAUCCUACCAUGAUGCUCUGGACAAGCAUCAACUGCUUGUCAUGUAGCCCUGACAUCCUAAGGUACCACCACUCUUCUGGGAAGACAGGCUCAGAGUUAAGAGGCAGCUGACCACAGUUUCUUGUCCAGGACCACUGCUGAUGAGACUCACAUUAAAUCUACUGGCAAAUCUAACAAGAUUGAAUGCAGAAGGACACAGCCUCGGAUAAAUAGAAGUUAAGGGAAUAACCUGUUUUUCUUGGACUUGGUCCAGUAUUCACUAAAGGGAUUCCCGUGAGUAUCAGUAGGAUUGAAAUCAGACCAUAAAUUUUUUAUGAAUUUUCUUCUGCUUUAUUAAAGAAAAAAAAAAAACACGCAAACCCUAAAAAAAUAUAAAAAUCUAUUUUAAGAGUUGUUUCCCCUUUUUGUUACAUAUUUAUUCUCCUUUCUGCUCCUUCCCGUCACUAGGAAGGGUAUACUGCACCUCUGACAGCACUGUGAUCUGACAGCUGCCCAUAAUCUGAGCAGUAUGUUCCUGAACAGGAGACUGAACCCUGCUCCGAGCUGCUGCAGCAGAGCACAGGAGUGCUGGGGGAACGUCCAGCUCGCAACUAGCUAUUCACUGAGGGCCCUGUCAAGGCAGAACUGCAUAUUGAGAAGACACCCUUUCUAUCUCAUUAUCACCUCCCCAAACUAUCAAUUAAAAAAGAUGUCACUGUGGAUGUCAUCUACCUUCUGCAUGCACUUUUUUCACGCAGGGCUGUGACACACACUUCAUACAAGUCAUCUAGGGAGGGGUACUGUAGGCAUUGAGGCACUUAAAAAUGCCAGCAAAGUGCCUAAUUGGAAUUCAAAAGGGCAUUGGCCCUGACUCCUGAUUUCAGUGCAGCUUAGACAUGUAAGCCCCAGUCUCUGUCUCUAGGUACCAAACACCUUUGAAAUCUGGUUCCCUCAGUUCCCUUUUUGACUACGGCAAUUAGCUCUCAGGGUAUUAUGAGGAUGGAAGAAUACCCUGACUAUGAGUUCUUGGAAAAAAUAGAAAUUGGGAUAACUAAGUAACGUUUAAAUCAGUUAGACAGUUCAUUAACACUUCCGCUAACAGCCAACUUAGAGAGAUUCCUGUGCAUGUGCAUUCCUUCCCACUGUUAGCAUCUCCACUCACACAAGGAAUAUUUAUGACCCUUCUCCAUCAAAAGCCUGCUUAUUCUUAUUUAAAAUAGGCCAUAAAGAUACAUAUAUUAACAUUAGGGACAUUAACGCUCCCUUUUUGUCCCCAUGCUUAAAAAGGAAAAGAAGAAUUCAAACCUUAAAGUGGGAAGUGAAUUACACAGAGUGGCUGCAGACAGGAGCCAUUAAAUGCCUGGCUGCAUUUUUUUUUUAAAUUGAAACAGUAAAGCAAUUUUCUGUACAAAUAGCUCUGGCAAAGUGUGUUCUGUCGAAGUUCACAACCACACGUCCCUACAGAUCCAAUACAGCAGCAGAGCCUUGGACCUUCCUGCAUGCUGAGGAGGCACUUGGUUCUCACCCAGGAGAGCUGCUUGCCCAUCAGGCAAGGCACUGACCAAAUGUGUGCAGGCUGGAGGGCGAAGCAAAGCACCACAGCUCUUCUUUGGUUCCCACACAACUUCAGAAAUUUCAGGAUGAAUUCCCAGGUAGCAACUCCUGGCCCAGUAACGACAAGUACAGAGUCCAGAGGGAGGCAAAUCCAUAUUCCUCAUUUUGAACAAGAGGAGGGGAAAACCCACACAUGGUUGGUUUUCCUGUAAUCUUGAUUGCCCGUAGGUUUUGGUCCAAACUACUAAACUGUACGGCCUGUCUGUAAAUUGAGUGUUUAAAAGAAAGGCGUGUCUGUUUUUUUAACUUUUUGAUGUGUCAGUAAUAGGGGUGCCAUCUAGAGGCCAAAGUGACUUUCCAGCACAUUCCAUUGGACAGGAAUGGCAGUGUCAAUAACCUACUCCUCUCACUACCUCCUUAUAAACGACUUAUCAUUUCUAAAUAAAAUUGUUACAGUAUGAAGUACUUCUCCAUACACAUCUCUCAUUCAAGAGUUGCAAAUCCUGCCUUAAUCAAUCCAGUUUAAGAAUGGGCUAUACACAUUAGCCAUGUAUCUACCCACUGCAGGGAUGAGAUGUUGAGAGCAGCAACAGGCUCUGGUUAUACAGGUUUGGACACCAUCCUUCCCAUCCUGACCCUGAGCUGAUCACUGCAAGUCAAACUGAGCCGAACUGCCAGCGGUGGGAUCCAGUCUGGAACUUGCCUUGGUGGUUCCAGCCCCGUGCAGAACAACCACAUCUCAUGCUCCUCUGCAUUGCUGCCUAAUGUCCUCUCUUGCCUGGCUUGGGAAUGGCCUCUCCCUGUAGGAGUCUCCCUACAGCAGGCAUAGGAAUCAUCUAAUGUUAAUGCAAGUGUUAAAAGGAGCCCCGUACAGGGCAGGCAUGGCCACCUAUUGCUCCCCACAGUGCUCCAUGCUAAUUAGUGCUAAACCCUCCCUACCUCCCACCCAACCGGAGCAGCUGAGCAGGUUGCAGUGGAGCAGGAAAGUGAGGGUUGCACAGCGCUGCUCAGGCCUCACGGCCAGAGGAACCCCAAUCCAAUGCCCUCACAAAGCACUCCAGAUUUGCUUGCAGACUCCCUGCACCCACCGUGUUGCAAAAUCCCCUGCUGAUGUGACUAAGAGUCAUGCUCUGCAGCCUCAGCUUCGGUUUCUACCUCUCACAGUCCUGAAAUGGAGACAGGGAAGUGUCAGAUGCUUUCUGUUCUCCUUGCCCAAGACUCUCUGACCACGGGUGUUUUUGCGUCCACAGCGCUCAAGGGACCUUUCAGUCAGUGCUAUCUCGUGAGUAGCUAAAUAAAAACAGACCCAAAUGUUGUCGGCUCUGCUUACAUCAAGGAAAGGGGAAGCAGCUCUCCUACUACAGCAAGCGCUAGCAAAGUUCUGCAAGAGGCAGCUAAAAGUAGGGCUGCCCCCUACAACACUUCCGUCCUGCCUUUGACACACGCAGCUUUCACGUCUGAUCGGCCCCACAAUUUCCUUGUCGCUGGCUUGCCCCACGCCCAGUGUCCCCGGGCAGCCCUUCCUGCCUGCAGAGAGCCCCGGUGGCUUUGAAGUGCGGGCAGCUCCCUCACACUGGGGCGUGAGCAGCCACCUCCCCUGCUUUCUUCAUUGUUUUGGUCUGCAUCAGUUGCAAGUGAGAAGUGGGACAACCCCCCGGUGAAGGUCUCGCCCCAAGAAGAUGCUGAAAGUCCCUGAGGUGCUGAAGACAAGAAAAGUUUUCCACAGUGGAGUAUUUUCAAGGGUAUUUUUCUCAGUAAAUGAAACGAUGGAAAGUGUUUGUGUGAAUACCUCUGGGAUGGCAGUCCCAAACAUUCCCUUCUGAUUUUGGCAUUUUUUCCUGGAGACCCAGGAGCUGAAAAUGGCAUGAAUGUGCUUCUUGGAGUAAAAAGGAAAGAAAGCGCACCCGUGGUGUAAAGGAGGGGUUGUGGACCUCCUCUGCCUGGUCUGAGGCGCAGGGCUGAGAUGCCCCUGGCGCCAGGGAGCUGGCUGUCAGCAGGCUAGUGACACCGCGUGGAUGUUGGACGAGGGCACGUGGAAGGUGGAGGUGCGUUAGCAGCGUGCCGUAGGAGGAGCAACAGCGGUGCCAGUUCUGCCUGGGCAGUCUGUGAGAAGUGACAUGGGACAGAGCUCGCGUGGACGGGCAUCGCUGCUAACGCGAAGAGAAAGCCAUGAAGUGUGUUAACCCCAGUGAAACAGACUGUUGAAAAUGGUCUGUGCUGUUUGCCCAAGGUUUUCCAGAUCCUGGGAAAGUAAUACCCGUGGGAAGUUGAGCUAACUGGGACCUCAUGAGCUUUACUGUCUUCUCCACUUGUCAGUCCAGCAGGUACCAGAAAGGGUAAGGCAGCAUGUGCUGGAUUCCCUGUAAAGACAAAUCGGAUGAGACAUGGAUGAUUGGGCCACAGGAGGACUGAACAACUUACCACCAUGUUGCCAAAUGGCAGGAGCAGGGGCCCAGGCAGUCUGGGACCUGAUCAAUGCGACAGGAUCUUGGAGUCUGCCUGUUCUGGCUUCAAGCUCUCCAGCAGAAGGAUUUCGUCUUGAAGGGGAAUCACUUCACAGCCCCUGUUUGUGCUUGGGGGAGUGGAUAGGGGGUAGGGUGUGUGGAUCGAGAAAGCCAGCUGAGUCCCCUUGCUGUAAAAGGACCGAUGAGAAAAGAGAACUGCACCCCUUCACCGGCGGUAGGUGUGCUGCCUCGGCCUGCCCCCCCGAGCCCCGACGUGGUUAGGGGACCCUGCAGUUUGAGGCUGCUGCGAUGAGCUGGCUUGCAAAGGGCUUAACAGGAGAAGGCAUGCCUGGGGAGAGAGCCCCUGGCCAGCCUGCUGUGAGAGGGCUACUUCCCCAUUGGAUGGUAAAACACAGCAGAAAAGCCAUCAGCUCAGAAGGCACACCCAGACCGCUGGAAAUUCUGUCCAGACCAAGCCAGAAACUAUUUCCUGAAGCCUCUUUGUCACCAGACUGCUUUAGAAGAGUGGCACCAUUGAAAGUGUAGCUAAGACCGGCUGGAAACAGGGCUGUGGCAGGAGAAGGGUGCCAGCCCCACUUCUGGGUAGCUCCUGUGGGUACACGUGUGCGCGUGUGUGUGGGGAGAGGGGGGGCUGGUUCCUCAGCAGUUUUAUUUUUCUCAGUCUGGUUCAGAAAAGAAGCAUUUGUAAGCUCUCACUACUUCUAAGCCUCACCAACCACUCUCAAGAACAGCCUGUGAAGGUUUCCUGGGUGGUUGCCUUGUGGUUUUUACCGUUGCAGUUUAGUAUCUGGAUCUUAAUUUGGCCGCCCCCCCUCACCCCGCUGCCCUGCUGGUGGCCGCAAAGGCAGGCCACGUGUGCCCUUUGUCAAGCUGUGCCCUGCGUCCCUCAGGAGCUGCAGCAGAGUCAGGAACAGGCCUGCAGCCCUCGGGUCUUCCUCGCAGUGCUCCUCAGGGCAGAGGCAGACCAAGGGCAGACAGCGGGAUGGGAAGGGACACGCAGGUGGGCUGCCAGCAGAUCCUUCGAGGGAGCUGCGCAUGCCUCGGCUCCUUCGGCUGGUUUUUGAGGCCCCCGCUCCCCCUCCUCGUCCUUCCGCUCCCCCGGCAGGUGAGCAUGCCGGAAACCACACGAGCGGAGGAAGGCAGAGUUUCCAGUUCUCUAGUCAGUGGUGGUGUUGUGUAUUUAUGGUACAUAAAUACAUAUUUUUUUUCCACAAAGGUUUGGGUCACCAGGGCUAUUUUAAGAUGGGUUUUUCAAGUUUCCUCUAGAAAGGGUAUUUCGUUGAGGCAGUGUUACAGCACCAUCUGGUGGGCUCCCAGCUAACCUCCCGCAGCAAAGGGGCCGUGAUGCUUUCUGCAAAUGGCUGGCGCGAAGCGACCCCGUGGGAGCAGAGGGGUUCUCGGUCUGUCUUCAUGGUGUACCAGCCCUGGGCAAGAGAGCUGAAUACUCUUGCAAGCACUGCUGUGCUGCGAAAUGUCUGAGGCAACUCAGGCUGUAACACCUGUCUUGAGCUCGCAGAGUGGGUUGGAGAAUCAUCCAGGACGAUAGAAGGAUUUACAGUACUCAGCAUCAUCCUGCAUAUUUUACAGAGGGAGAUUGUGCAGUUUGGAGGCUAGUGAAUGUUGUGGCAAGAGACCUGGGGAUGGGGUGCAGGUACCUUAGCUGUAACCCCAUGCUGGUCCUGUAACCAGGGAGAGCUUUCCACACACAGCCACCUUCCCUCGGCCUGUAACAUUCUGCCUGGUGCUAGAAUAUCCAACAAGUCAGGGACUGGGGAUGGCUGCAGUGUGGUCUGGAAGCUCCCAAAGAACACAUUCGGCUCCAGCAAUCCCCGCCUCCUCCAGCCCAUGAACUCCAUGCUACGGCUGUUGCUUGCUUCACAUGAUAUAUCUGAUAAUAAGGUAUGCUGCAGUUUCCUUCAAUAGCACAGCAUUGCAGCUGACACUCUGGUGCCCUGCCUAAUUGCUGAUAUACUGGACAAACCCCACUGUUAUGUAAAGUGCACAGUCAUGGUGUAGCAGUGCAUGGGGCAACUUUAGACCCAAGUCCACCUCAGCGUUGGCUGCUACGUAACACCACUUCUCCACUGUGAGUAUAAGCACAAACCACCCAUCGCACUGUUUUUCCACACACAGCUAUUACUGUUGUUCAGGUUACGUAGACAAAUGGGAGAGUGUGCAGUGCAGGUUUUCAAGAUACUAACUGAACUAAGUAAAUUUAGAGAUUUGGGAUCUCAAAAGUUAUAUACUGACUAUCAUUCAUUCUUACUGAACAAUACAGCAAAGUGUGAUUCUUUUGGCAUUCAAGGAUAAGAGAGAUGAGUUACUGGAAUAAAAGAAGUUCAGGGAAGGUCAUAUAAUGAGCAUAUGUGGAUUUUAGACCAUACAAGUGCCAGGACUGGAAAAGGGUAUAGCAAACUGAAACAGGUGGAGGGCAGGUGUGGGCAGAAAGCUUGCAGCAAGCAUUUUGGCAAACCUGGAAGAGCAGUUUACAGCAGUGUUUUUUCUAGGUGCUAUAAUAGGCUAUGACAAUUUGAAGGAAAAGAGUGAGGAAGUUUCUUAAAGAUAUGAGAUUUUUUUUUUUUUUGAGCAGAUCAAUUUUCAGUUAGGCAUUCACAGGAACUGGCAGUGAUGCAGAAAACAUGGCAGUGGCCAUGUCUGCAAGAAACAGCAGAGCUGCUUGCUUGUACUUUUUGUUAAACGGACAGUACGAUCUGAAGCUUCACUGCAGUGCAUGGCUUAGGCAGGCAGGGCUCACAGUGGUGAGUAGCGCUUAGACACAGAGCCCCAUUCACCGAGAUUGAAGAAUAAUUCUUUCAGGCAUAGGUAUAAAAUCCAAGGGUUUUAUCCAGUUUCCUUUCUUUCCCCGUGUAUCUUUUCUUACUUUCCUUUCCUGUCAUUGUAAUGGCACUGUUUGCUGCAACACCUCCUCUUCACUCCCAGGUAAAAUCUCACCCAAAUUUUAACAAUCAGUUUGUGGUACCUCUGCUUUCAAGGUUCUACAGUGUGAGCAUUUGCAGAUUUUAAUGACUUCAGCUAGACCAGGAAGUGCUCACUUCCUUUAAAAGCAUGACCUGCUAUAUCUUACCUCUGCGAGCCGCAAAAUAAUAUCUGUAGGCCUCUGGAAUGCAAGGAGAAAUCCUUGCCUUAGAACUAGUUGUUGGGCAAAAUAAAAUAAGCAUGCAUAUAGGGUCCUGCUGGACCUGAUCUCAGGGUCUUCAGCGAUGUACCUCAUGUACAUAUGCACACAUACACAGAGAGCAGUUCCUGGCCUGGACUGAAGCAUCUACUCUAAGCAUGUUGAUCUGGACCUUUCCAGCUCAACCUGUCAUUGCUGAACACCCACACAGCAUAUGGAUUUUCGAGGAUAGGAAAAGAAGAACGGGGAGAGGAGACCCUGGUUACGGGAAACAGCCGCUACACCACACAAGAGUAUCGUUCAGUUCCUGUGAAACUCUUUGUCUUUUAUUUUAAGCCCUUCAUUAAUCUUGAAGAGCGGGUUUUACCUUACACUCUCGCCUCUCCCUCGUCACUCCCUCAUCAGGCCCAGCAAAUCAAUAGUAGCGAUUGUCCUUUGAACAUCUCCAGACUACCCAGGCCUACAGGGUUGCCAUUACCUAGUAUUUCACUAAAGAACAUAAUGCGGCCUUGUUUCUUACCCAGGCCCUCAGCCUGUUAAGCCUUACACUUUCCUUUCGGUGCCGAGUCGAGCCAGGGCUGGAAUGGCUGCUUUACGUGGAGUCAGUUUAUCUGCUGCAUCCCAUGCAGCUGAUGUGCACAGAGCACCCUGCUUGCGUGCCCCCCAGCCCCAGGCCUCCGCUAGGCAUAACUGUUCGCUCAUCGGCGGUAUUGUCCUAGCAAAUCAGCCCCAGGGUGAAUGGCUAACAACUCUCUUGCAGGUUUGUAGAGAGAGGGGGUGGAGGGGUAACUGAUGGCAUGGCUAGUAAAAGGGGAAACACCCUCAGGUACUGUAUGCACAGCAUUUAGCCUUCCAGAUAACAAUUGCUACACAGGGGGAAUGGAGGAAACUGUCUGGAAAUCACACGUUUCCAAAACCCUUGUGAGAAAACCGAAGCCAUUUAGGAGCUGUACAAUAUUCAGCGCUAGGACCGGGGUGCAGCAGCAGGGGCAGGCAGUGCCGAGGUCUGCCCAUGUCAGACCUGGUGGCCCCCAGCCCUGCGCAGGGUGGGGAGCACUGCGCGUACAGGCCCAGCCAAGCUCCCCUCAGCUGGGUGCUCCCUGCCAUCCCCACCCGCACAGCACGAACUCUGACUGACAAAUAGCAAAAACUCGAGUGAUCUAUGUCAGGCACAGAUUCCCAGCACCCCAGAAGUGGAGUGUUCCCAUUCCAACAAAACAGCUGGAAAAAAAAAAGCUGUUUAGACUGAAAAAGUCUGUCAGCCCCAGUCUGAACAGUUCCCAGAUCCAGCCUCCUUCCCCGCACAUGUGGGCAAUGUCCUCCACCACCAGGCCACCUGGAGCUGAGGUCUGAGCUCAGAUAGGUCUCUCAGCAUAAGCUAGGGGAACUUUACUGAAAAGGGUUGUUCCCCCAGGCUACUACAGCUCCUAAGGGGCACGAGGGUUGCAUUUUCCAAGGCAAUUUUUUUUGUUUUAUCCUGCAAGAGCAUUCGGCUCUCCAGAUUCCUGUACACGGCCUGAUUGAACACGCGCAUCAGAAGAGCCAUCCUGCUUCCAGGGUGUCUGUGUGACUCUUGACCUUGAUGGAACAACUAGAGAGCUAGUUAAAAAAUAACGUAGAGACAUCGCAACUCCUGUGGAAAUCAUUGGGAAACAGAUGCUACCUGCACCUUAAAAAAAAAAAAAAAGUGCUAAAGUUCCUGUGCAUUCUUGCUUAUAAAGUGAAUGGCAAAUGUCCUUGCACCAGAGAAGGUUCAGAAUUGAAGAGAUGAGGCUGGCAAUUACAGUGCAACAGCUACUAGCGGUAUUUGCUAGGGCUGUGCUACUUAACUGUUGCCCCCACUGUUGGCCCUGCAACCAAGCCCAGCUUUGAUUAGAUGCCUAGGGCUAGAAGCAGCUGUUUGGGAACCGAUGCAUAAGAACUGCUGCUGAGAAUGAGGAGCAACAUCUAGAAAAGGGCUAGAGAAUUUAUGGAAGCACAAACUAUAGCCUUCAAGAGAGGAUGGCAAACAUAACAACUGCAAGUGAAGAUGUCUGGAAAUCCAUUUUAGGCAUUUCUUCUUACUCUGAAGCACACUUCUAUUUCACAUCAGUUUUAAAAUAUUUUUUUCUCUUCUGUGAGGAAACAAACCUGAGCCCGUUUCAUGACUCCACAAGCAGUGGCAGCAAGUACAGCCACUAGAUGGCAGGAGUCAGAGAUGAAUCUAUUCAAUGAAGAAUCCUGGCCUUCAUUUCAGGCACACUCCCAUCCUGUUCCUGAAACUCCCUUACUUUUCAACUACAGGUGAACACCCUUAACCACUUGCUUUGCUUUUCUCACCUGUAAACCAGUGAUGUGACAUGGCCAAUUAUAUCAAAGUUUAUUUAUCUUCACAAACUACUUGGAUACCCUUGGUUGAAGAGUCAUGUGUUAAAUUUACAAAAAUGUAACAAAUAAUAAAGAAAUGCGAUACACGUCACAGAAAAAAUCUCUUAUUUUGGGGGAUAAUAGGAUACUUGUGCUUGUGAGAGAACCAGAAGGAUCACGGGGGAGUUACACCCCAGGUCACAAUUCCACUUCCUCCCACCAUGUAUCAGAUUCAGAGAGAACUGGUAAAAGCAAUACUUCAGGAGACCUGAAGUAUCCACUCUGUGAUAGAAUCGAGAUUGCUUAUGGAGGAUCAGAUGAGCAUCAGAGCUGGCACAAGACAACGGGCAGGAGCAGGGACAGCAGUUCCUCUUCCCAGCAGUGAGCAGCUAGAUCAUCUUCGCCAUAUUGUUCAACUGCACCCCCAAGGCAUGGGUGGAACCCUUACAACUAAAAUAAAUUUAACAUUUGCACUGUCUUAUGUCACCUCCAUUUACUGAGGAGAAAUUUACAAAAACUGCUCUUCAAGGCCCAGGCUAGGAGGAUAAAGGCAGGAGUAAUGACAGGUUUACUUGUUCUCAUGUAAAGUGUCAGAUGUUAGAACAUACUGCCUGUAAAAGCUGUGACUUCAGUACAUUAAAGGAGUUUAUGGUUAUUUUAAAGCUGGGCUUUCAUUCCUGUGCCCUGUAGUGUUGGAACUAAGGCACCUGGUAAAGGUAAAUAAUUUGUUCCAAUGCAAAUCUAAAAGUGUUCUAUUUUAAAAAUAAACUGGCUUCUGAAAUACAAUAGUUCAGCCAAGUCUCAUACUAUACCGUGUUCCCUGAUGAGUCUGCCAAGUUUAUUUCUUCUAAUCAAGAUGCCUACCUGAAUCACAGACACUACUCACAGAAACACAGGUAGUGUUUCUUUAGACCUUUUGCUCUUCUGCAGAGUACCAAAUACUUUUAAGCGAAGCAAACAAGUACACACAUUCCCAAAUCUGUUUAUCGUAAGAUCACAUGCAUAAGGAAACUUCUAAAUUUGAACUACUGUCAUCAAUAAUAAAGGUCUUGUUUCCUUCUAACGUGUAUCUUUACAGUCUUUGACACUAAAGCUGCCACCUCUCAAAAUUGAAACUCCCUCUGUCCUUUUUUACUUCACUGCUUCUUUCUACUCUAGUCCAUCUUUCCUCUCAGGACUUUUCUAUACUUGCUGGCCUCAGGCUAUUUUAUUCAGGCUGCGGAACCGUUUUUUUUAAAAAUUUCUCCACCAAGUCAGAUGCCCUAAAACUAAGAAUUCCGGAUUGGGUUUGCUUCUCCAAGUUGAGGUCUGAUAUGACCAAUUUACAGUGGCACGAUGAGUCAUCCUUCAUCAAAGUUAUUAAGUGUACAAAACUGUAGCUCAUUUUACACGUCAAGUAAUGUCUAAACUUUAAACACAACUGAAAAACGUAGCUUGCAUUUCUGCAACUACCUACCUUUCUUUCCCCACCUGUGUUUGCCACUUCUGAGUAAAUCAAGAGAAAAUUAUGCAAGGGGAAUAACAUCGUACAAUAAAGAAUCAAAAGUGAAUAGUAACAUUCACAAGCUCUGUAUUUACGCUAUUUGCAAGGUAAGCAAGUUGUAGCCAGGAGCACUCAAGGUCUCCAGUAUUGCACUUGCCAAUCUCAAAGGUUCUAGGCAAGAAGUGGACAUUUUGGAAGGUUUUUGGUAACAUCACAAAUUUACCAAAGCAAGCAACUUAGCAAAAUUGAGCAAAUCCCAGCUUUCCCAAUGUAGUCACUUCUAGCAAGAUUCCUUUGCAAAGUGAUUCCUAUUUGUUCCUUCUGUUUUGCUGAAGUAAAAAUUCAGGUAACAUCAAGCCAAGCAUGCAAACAUGAUUAGCAGAAACUUCCUCUAGUAAUGGUGUCUGUCUUGGUGCUUUAGAUUAACAGAAGUAGUGUAGGCAAUGUAAGAGUUCCUGGAACUGUAUUUCAAAUGUUCCAAAUGGUUUUACUUACAUGAAAAUUCCUGUAUUGACAUUUGGCUGUUGGUUCUUCUGUCAAACUGGGGACAAGAAGGUCAGUAACACAAAUAGUUCUGCAAGGACAGCAGAGAGACUAUUAUUUGUGAUCAGGUCUCUGAAACACCGAUGGCCACGACAGGAAAAUCCUAUCCAGUCAUCCUUUUAGACAGGAUCUGAUUACUUACAUCACAACUGGUUUCUAGUUUACAUUUUGCUUGCUUUCACAAGGGUACACCUUCAAGUAAGUUUCCUUGCGAUCGUGUUUGCAAGACUGUAUGAAGUGAACAACACCAUGUAACACUAGUACACAACACUGCAAGGUAAGCCAGAAAAAGGUUUUAUUUUUAUUAGGAUUGGUACAUUUAAACACAUGUAAGACUGAGUUUAAUUUACAUGUAUUUUUCCAAAAAUGUUUCCCUUCUUUAACAAUCCAGAAGUUAAAAAAAUCUUAUUCCAAAUUAUAAGAACAAACAGUAUUUGCAGUGGAAAUUUCUAUUAAUCAAAACAACUGUGCAUUCAGGAGAUUUAAAGAAAUUAUCCUCUUUACCCUUUAACAUGAUUAACUUUUCUUGUUACAACUGACUACACUUUUCCUGGGAAUUUUUGCUGCUGUCCUUUACUAAAACAACCUUCCUUUCCGUCAAGACUAUUUCUAGUCAUACACACAAUAUUCAGUAUCAUACAUCUGGGUAUGAAAGCUAUGCCACUUUUAUAAACAUUAAAAACAUGGACAUGCAUAUUGACAUUUCUGUGCAGUUUUAUGGAGUCACCUGUCAAAUAAGGCCUCUACAUACAAUAACACAUACUAGUGAAUUACUGGAAAAUUAGUAUAAUGGAUUCCCAAUAAUCCUGACAUCUGAAUGGUAUGACUCAUUUUAACAGGAAAAUCCAGCAUUCCUUACUGGUUAACAUUGUAUUCUUUCACUAACCAAAUGAACAAUAUUCAACUGGCCAACAUGUAUUCCUGAAAGUCUGUUGCAAAUUAAGCUUAUUAUCAAGGUCAUUUAAAGCUGGAACUUAAACAGCCUGUUAAGCCAAGCAAUGGGGGAAAAAAGUGAACUCUAACUAAAUUCAGCUGGUCCAUUCAUACUCACACAGAAAA